GAUCAUUACAGAAUGAAAGUGCUUAACUGCAUUUUUUUUACACAUGUGUUUUUCUUUUUUUUUGAAAACUUUGCUUUGGUGGGCCCAUGGCCUGCCAGAGAUUAAACUCAACCAAAUUUUUAUUUAAGUCAACUGAUUAACUAAUAGUCAAAACUUUCAACAACGGAUCUCUUGGUUCUCGCAUCGAUGAAGAACGCAGCGAAAUGCGAUAAGUAAUAUGAAUUGCAGAUAUUCGUGAAUCAUCGAAUCUUUGAACGCACAUUGCGCCCUUUGGUAUUCCAAAGGGCAUGCCUGUUUGAGCGUCAUUUCUCCCUCAAACCUUCGGGUUUGGUGUUGAGCGAUACGCUGGGUUUGCUUGAAAGAAAGGCGGAGUAUAAACUAAUGGAUAGGUUUUUUUUCCACUCAUUGGUACAAACUCCAAAAUUCUUCCAAAUUCGACCUCAAAUCAGGUAGGACUACCCGCU
This 464-nucleotide small RNA is filed under the name Lodderomyces parapsilosis. Its description in RNAcentral is "eukaryotic LSU rRNA". The stretch from base 152 to 305 matches the Rfam family "5.8S ribosomal RNA". The record is from RNAcentral. Lineage: Eukaryota; Fungi; Ascomycota; Pichiomycetes; Serinales; Debaryomycetaceae.